RNAcentral lists this ribosomal RNA (253 nucleotides) under uncultured bacterium. RNAcentral's name for it is "partial 16S ribosomal RNA". It matches the Rfam family "Bacterial small subunit ribosomal RNA", at positions 524 to 776 of the family's 1533-position model. The record is from RNAcentral.
UACGUAGGGUGCAAGCGUUACUCGGAAUUACUGGGCGUAAAGCGUGCGUAGGUGGUGAGUUAAGUCUGAUGUGAAAUCCCCGGGCUCAACCUGGGAAUGGCAUUGGAUACUGGCUCGCUAGAGUGCGGUAGAGGGUGGUGGAAUUCCCGGUGUAGCAGUGAAAUGCGUAGAGAUCGGGAGGAACAUCUGUGGCGAAGGCGGCCACCUGGACCAACACUGACACUGAGGCACGAAAGCGUGGGGAGCAAACAGG